UAAUACGUAGGUGGCGAGCGUUGUCCGGAAUUACUGGGCGUAAAGGGUGCGUAGGCGGUUAUAAAAGUCAGAUGUGAAAUUCCGGGGCUCAACUUCGGAAUUGCAUUUGAAACUUUAUGGCUAGAGUGCAGGAGAGGGAAGCGGAAUUCCUAGUGUAGCGGUGAAAUGCGUAGAUAUUAGGAAGAACACCAGUGGCGAAGGCGGCUUUCUGGACUGUAACUGACGCUGAGGCACGAGAGCGUGGGGAGCAAACAGGAUUAGAUACCCUGGUAGUCCACGCUGUAAACGAUGAGUGCUAGGUGUAGGAGGUAUCGACACCUUCUGUGCCGCAGUAAACGCAAUAAGCACUCCGCCUGGGGAGUACGGUCGCAAGACUAAAACUCAAAGGAAUUGACGGGGGCCCGCACAAGCAGCGGAGCAUGUGGUUUAAUUCGAAGCAACGCGAAGAACCUUACCAGGGCUUGACAUCUCCUGAAUACCCUAGAGAUAGGGGAAGCCCCUCGGGGCAGGAAGACAGGUGGUGCAUGGUUGUCGUCAGCUCGUGUCGUGAGAUGUUGGGUUAAGUCCCGCAACGAGCGCAACCCUUGUCAUUAGUUGCUAACAUUAAGGUGAGCACUCUAAUGAGACUGCCGGGGACAACUCGGAGGAAGGUGGGGAUGACGUCAAAUCAUCGUGCCCCUUAUGUUCUGGGCUACACACGUGCUACAAUGGCUAGAACAAAGAGAAGCGAAACAGUGAUGUGGAGCAAAUCUUAAAAACUAGUCCCAGUUCGGAUUGAUGGCUGCAACCCGCCAUCAUGAAGCCGGAGUUGCUAGUAAUCGCGAAUCAGCAUGUCGCGGUGAAUACGUUCCCGGGCCUUGUACACACCGCCCGUCACACCAUGAGAGUCUGCAACACCCGAAGCCUGUGAGGUAACUAGAGAUAGGGCCAGCAGUCGAAGGUGGGGCCGAUGAUUGGGGUG
RNAcentral lists this ribosomal RNA (961 nucleotides) under uncultured bacterium. RNAcentral describes it as "bacterial SSU rRNA". It matches the Rfam family "Bacterial small subunit ribosomal RNA", at positions 521 to 1482 of the family's 1533-position model. The record is from RNAcentral.